AGAGUUUGAUCCUGGCUCAGGAUGAACGCUGGCGGCGUGCUUAACACAUGCAAGUCGGACGGGGCAUGCCAUGCGCGAAUCUACGGAAGAGCGCGGGCAUGCCCAGUGGCGGACGGGUGAGUAACGCGUGGGCAACCUGCCCCAUACAGGGGGAUAACAGCCGGAAACGGCUGCUAAGACCGCAUAACAUGCCGCGUGCGCAUGCACGCAGCAUCAAAUAUUGUUAUAGGUAUGGGAUGGGCCCGCGUCUGAUUAGCUGGUUGGCGGGGCAACGGCCCACCAAGGCGACGAUCAGUAGCCGGCCUGAGAGGGUGGGCGGCCACAUUGGGACUGAGACACGGCCCAAACUCCUACGGGAGGCAGCAGUGGGGGAUAUUGGACAAUGGGGGGAACCCUGAUCCAGCGACGCCGCGUGAGUGAAGAGA
Molecule: ribosomal RNA, 425 nt
Filed under: uncultured bacterium
Lineage: Bacteria
Description: bacterial SSU rRNA
Rfam family: Bacterial small subunit ribosomal RNA
Source: RNAcentral